AUACGUAGGGUGCGAGCGUUGUCCGGAAUUACUGGGCGUAAAGAGCUCGUAGGUGGUUUGUCGCGUCGUCUGUGAAAUUCCGGGGCUUAACUCCGGGCGUGCAGGCGAUACGGGCAUAACUUGAGUACUGUAGGGGAGACUGGAAUUCCUGGUGUAGCGGUGAAAUGCGCAGAUAUCAGGAGGAACACCGGUGGCGAAGGCGGGUCUCUGGGCAGUAACUGACGCUGAGGAGCGAAAGCAUGGGUAGCGAACAGGAUUAGAUACCCUGUUAGUCCAUGCCGUAAACGGUGGGCGCUAGGUGUAGGGGUCUUCCACGACUUCUGUGCCGUAGCUAACGCAUUAAGCGCCCCGCCUGGGGAGUACGGCCGCAAGGCUAAAACUCAAAUGAAUUGACGGGG
RNAcentral lists this ribosomal RNA (398 nucleotides) under uncultured bacterium. RNAcentral describes it as "partial 16S ribosomal RNA". It matches the Rfam family "Bacterial small subunit ribosomal RNA", at positions 523 to 918 of the family's 1533-position model. The record is from RNAcentral.